RNAcentral lists this ribosomal RNA (500 nucleotides) under uncultured bacterium. RNAcentral's name for it is "partial 16S ribosomal RNA". It matches the Rfam family "Bacterial small subunit ribosomal RNA", at positions 30 to 523 of the family's 1533-position model. The record is from RNAcentral.
AUUGAACGCUGGCGGAAUGCUUUACACAUGCAAGUCGAACGGCAGCACGGACUUCGGUCUGGUGGCGAGUGGCGAACGGGUGAGUAAUGUAUCGGAACGUGCCCAGUCGUGGGGGAUAACGUAGUGAAAAUUACGCUAAUACCGCAUACGAUCUAUGGAUGAAAGCGGGGGAUCGCAAGACCUCGCGCGAUUGGAGCGGCCGAUAUCAGAUUAGGUAGUUGGUGGGGUAAAGGCCCACCAAGCCAACGAUCUGUAGCUGGUCUGAGAGGACGACCAGCCACACUGGAACUUGGACACGGCCCAGACUCCUACGGGAGGCAGCAGUGGGGAAUUUUGGACCAUGGGCGAAAGCCUGCUCCAGCCAUUCCGCGUGCAGGAUGAAGGCCCUCGGGUUGUAAACUGCUUUUGUACAGAACGACAAGGUUUCUACUAAUACUAGGAGCUCAUGACGGUACUGUAAGAAUAAGCACCGGCUAACUACGUGCCAGCCGCCGCCGUAA